Molecule: ribosomal RNA, 253 nt
Filed under: uncultured bacterium
Lineage: Bacteria
Description: partial 16S ribosomal RNA
Rfam family: Bacterial small subunit ribosomal RNA
Source: RNAcentral
GACAGAGGGGGCAAGCGUUGCUCGGAAUUACUGGGCGUAAAGGGCGCGUAGGCGGAAUGGCAAGUCGGUCGUGAAAUCCUUCGGCUCAACCGAAGAACGUCGAUCGAAACUGCCGUUCUUGAGGAUUGCAGAGGAGACUGGAAUUCCCGGUGUAGCGGUGAAAUGUGUAGAUAUCAGGAGGAACGCCGGAGGCGAAAGCGAGUGACUGGCGCGUUCCUGACGCUGAGGUGCGAAAGCUAGGGGAGCAAACAGG